This 2046-nucleotide long non-coding RNA is filed under the name Malus domestica (apple). RNAcentral describes it as "long non-coding RNA (MDOM_LNC015710)". The record is from RNAcentral. Lineage: Eukaryota; Viridiplantae; Streptophyta; Magnoliopsida; Rosales; Rosaceae.
AUCCAUUUGUUUUUGUUUCAGUAUCGGUUUAUGAGAAAGAGAGCAAUCAGUCAGCACUUGGAAUCAAGCUUCCAGCCAAGAACUGACUGCCUGGAACCCCUUACCUGAUUACUUACCUGGCAUUGCUCUCGAGUACUCAUGUUCAACAUCUUAUGUUUCCAGGGAAGAUUCCGCAUCUGCUUGAGGAACAGAUAGGGCAAGUGCGAAGGAUACAAGGAAGCAUGUGGAGACAAGCGUAACAGCACACGUGCCGAUACAUCCAUUACUCUGUCAAAAGCAAAAGUAUCCCAUAUCAGCAGGGCGGAACGUACUCUAGAUUUGAUGGACUUGUUUUGACCCUCAAAUUCUUCAGUCGGCCUUAUACUCUGGAGGAAACCAGAAAACCCUCCAGCUCAGUUCAAGAAUAAGCCUGUGGAAAGUUACUUCUUCAAAAGCAAAAGUAUCUCAUAUCAUCUCUUCUCAUUUUUCCUCUUUAUCCUUCAUGCUGCUGCAAGAUGGGGAGAAGGUGAACAAUCAGUCGGAGCUCUGAUUGCUUACCUUGUCUGUCACCUCUUUCAGCAGACCCCCUAGCUCGGCGACUUGGGGGACUCCUACUACAUGGUUUGUAUCGCGCUUGACCAAGCCUGAAACUACAAGUAAGCUUCAAGUGAAAUUGAUACAUUACCUUGUGCAUCUCCACCAGUUAAAGAUACCACCCCUGGAUGGAGGAAGAGUACUUCCAGAGAAGAUGCCACAUCUACCUAUGAGACAGAUAAGGCAAGUCAAGACGACACCACACUCCGAUACUUAGAAGUUUCGUGAUUACGAGAUCAUUCUCCACAAUAUUUCCUAAUGUCAUUUGUACUAAAUCAUUCACUUGUACUCACUAAAGGAGAGCUUGAACCUAUGUACUUGUGUAAACCCUUCACAAUUAAUGAGAACUCUUCUAUUCCGUGGACGUAGCCAAUCUGGGUGAACCACGUACAUCUUGUGUUUGCUUUCCUAUCUCUAUCCAUUUAUAUACUUAUCCACACUAAUGACCGGAGCAAUCUAGCGAAGAUCACAAAAAGCGACUGUUUUCGCUACCUAGGAUCUAUCUUGCAAGAGAACGGAGAAUUAGAUGGAGAUCUCAACCAUAGAAUACGAGCUGGAUGGAUGAAGUGUAAGAAUGCAUCUGGCGUGUUGUGUGACCGUCGUAGGCCACUGAAGCUCAAGGGAAAAUUUUAUAGGACGGCAAUAAGGCCAGCGAUGUUGUAUGGCACAGAAUGUUGGGCGGUGAAGCAUCAACACGUUACACAAAAUGGGUGUAGCGGAGAUGAGGAUGCUUCGUGGGAUGUGUGGGCACACGAGAAAGGAUAAGAUUGGGAAUGAGGAUAUCCGAGGUAAAGUAGGAGUAGCCGAAAUUGUAGGAAAGAUGAGAGAAAAUCGGCUCCGGUGAUUUGGACAUGUGCAAAGAAGGCCGACUGACGCUCCGGUUCGAAGAUGUGACUAAGGGACAGAGGUUCAGGGCCGAAGGGGUAGAGGAAGACCUAGGAAAACUUUGGAAGAGACUCUAAGAAAAGACUUAGAGUACUUGGAUCUAACGGAGGACAUGACACAAAACCGAGCGCAAUGGCGUUCUAAGAUUCAUAUAGCCGACCCCACUUAGUGGGAAAAGGCUUUGUUGUUGUUGUUGUUGUUGUUGUUGUAUCGGUUUAUGAGAGUUUGAUAGGAAUUAGUAGAACUUGGGUUUACGUUUGAUCUCAUAGAAGUAGUAGUCGAAUCUGUAGCUAUCAGUUUCUUGUUAAGCAAUAGUCAUUUUCGGUUUUCUGUUUAUUGAAUUUGAACACCUACGUGUAAAAGCUAUCGUCAUUUUAAUCCCCAUUUCUGUGUGUUGAUAGUGAUCGCCUUCGAAUGAGAAAUCUUGUUUUAUUAACGAUAGUUGAUGCAAGUACACCUAGUUCAGCUGUGUUUUUUACAUUCCAUCUCAUAGAAGUUCGUUGUUAGACAAGCAGUCUAGUGUAGUAGCUAUGGUCUUUAAUUUUAAUCCCAUUUCUGUACUAUCUUAUUGAGCAUGAUCACCUUGGG